GUCUAUGGCCAUACUUCCCUGAACGCACCCGAUCCCAUCUGAUCUCAGAAGCUAAGCAGGUUGGGCCUGGUUAGUACUUGGAUGGGAGACUGAAAUUAAUCACUGAACCAUGCACU
This 116-nucleotide ribosomal RNA is filed under the name Chinchilla lanigera (long-tailed chinchilla). The record is from RNAcentral. Lineage: Eukaryota; Metazoa; Chordata; Mammalia; Rodentia; Chinchillidae.